RNAcentral lists this transfer RNA (74 nucleotides) under Candidatus Vampirococcus lugosii. RNAcentral describes it as "tRNA-Pro". It matches the Rfam family "tRNA". Rfam says of the family: Transfer RNA (tRNA) molecules are approximately 80 nucleotides in length. Their secondary structure includes four short double-helical elements and three loops (D, anti-codon, and T loops). Further hydrogen bonds mediate the characteristic L-shaped molecular structure. tRNAs have two regions of fundamental functional importance: the anti-codon, which is responsible for specific mRNA codon recognition, and the 3' end, to which the tRNAs corresponding amino acid is attached (by aminoacyl-tRNA synthetases). tRNAs cope with the degeneracy of the genetic code in two manners: having more than one tRNA (with a specific anti-codon) for a particular amino acid; and 'wobble' base-pairing, i.e. permitting non-standard base-pairing at the 3rd anti-codon position. The record is from RNAcentral. Lineage: Bacteria; Candidatus Absconditibacteriota.
CGGGGAUUAGCUCAGAUGGCUAGAGCGCUGGUUUUGGGAACCAGAGGUCGCGAGUUCGAGUCCCGCAUCCCCGA